Long non-coding RNA from Zingiber officinale, 1130 nucleotides. RefSeq lists it as uncharacterized. The transcript has 3 exons. Lineage: Eukaryota; Viridiplantae; Streptophyta; Magnoliopsida; Zingiberales; Zingiberaceae. The record is from RefSeq and is a predicted model, not a curated record.
UUAGUCACUGAUAACCCCUCUCCCCUCCUGGUCUUGAGCAGGGAAGAGCAAAAAAAACCCAGCAGCAGAUUGCGGGCAGAUCGAUCUCUGGGGUUUCAUUCAGUCCCCAUCAAUGGACAGUUUCUCCCCUGUCGCCGCGGGUCGGAAUUCCCACGAGAUUCUCAGCCAGCGGCGACCUGCUCUUUUUCCCUCCCCCUCUCUCCCUGCGAGAAGAAGCAGAAGGGUAGGAAGCAGAGGUGCCGGAUUCGUUACCUUCGCUGUCGCGAGCGCACGAAAUGGCCGAGCCUCAUCUAGUGUUGGGAAAGAGGUAGUUACUAAACAGCUUUUUGCUAGCGUUUCGUCUUCUGGCAACAACCAGAUGACAACUGGUAGCGCAGUUGCCCCAGUUGCAGUGCCUUCAUCAUCGUCAUCCAUCUACGUCCUGUAGGAUUUUUCCUUAUGUUUGAAAUUGAGCCCCUAUUACUCAUUUGCCCAUGGUUUGAACUAAAAACUUCUUCAUUCUUAUUGACAUGGGUGGACUUGUUUGUGUUUGCAUAUAUGUUUAUGAUACUCGUGUGACUCAUCACCCCCCUUUAAUCUCCCUUGGAAACCGUAGAGGUUCACCACUGUUUUGGGUUGGAAUUGGAGUGGGACUGUCAGUCAUAUUUCAAGCGGUUGCAAAUAGAUUGAAGGUGAGUGGCUUCCCUGGUUUUGUACCCGUUUUGUAAGAUUAUUUCUAUCCUUAAGAAUCUUAUUCUUGAUUGGAAGUACUUGAUGUUUGAAAUUUUAUUUCUAGAUUGCAUAAAGCUUUGGAAAUUAGAUUCACAUGUUGUCAUUAGUUUGUGAAACUACUCUAUUGGAGGUUCUUAUGGUAAGAACAAGUUGAUCAUCCUAUCCUCAGAAAGGUUUUACACAUUUUUUCACCAUUUUUAAUUGAACAAGAAAACACUCAUAUCAGAAAACAAUUAGGUGUAGCUUGCAAUAGGUUCGGAGGAUAUUUUCAUCUUCAAAGGUGACCAGUAGACUCUAUAAUUAGAAGAGUUCUAUCAAUUAGAAUGAAAAUGUAAGGGGUAGAAGCUGACCGAAAAACAUUAGUCAAUGUAAUAAUCUAAUAUAGACUGUGUUGAUUGAUUAGUAUAUUACUAAUAAUA